RNAcentral lists this microRNA precursor (211 nucleotides) under Oryza glumipatula. RNAcentral describes it as "MIR812 microRNA precursor family". It matches the Rfam family "MIR812 microRNA precursor family". The record is from Rfam by way of RNAcentral. Lineage: Eukaryota; Viridiplantae; Streptophyta; Magnoliopsida; Poales; Poaceae.
AAUAAGUACAGUUUUAGCACUGUUUAUGUCCAACGUUUGACCAUUCGUUUUAUUUGAAAAAAGAUUAUGAUUAGUAUUUUUAUUGUUAUUAGAUGAUAAAACAUGAAUAGUACUUUAUGUGUGACUAAUUUUUUUUAAUAUUUUUCAUAAAUUUUUUAAAUAAGACGGAUGGUCAAAACGCUGAGCACGUAUAUCUAUGGCUACAUUUAUU